GGUGAAUGGGGGGCGGGAGCCGGCGGAAUACGAAGGGGGCGGGGGUUGUUUGGAACUACUGGGGGGAAAGGGCACGUAGGAGUGCUUUUAAGUCGGGGGUGAAGGCCUGGAGCUCAACUCCAGAACUGCCUGUGAUACUGGGAGUCUCGAGUUCGGAAGAGGUUGGUGGAACUGCGAGUGUAGAGGUGAAAUUCGUAGAUAUUCGGAGGAACACCAGUGGCGAAGGCGGCUCACUGGCUCGAUACUGACGCUGAGGUGCGAAAGCGUGGGGAGCAAACAGGAUUAGAUACCCGUGUAGUC
Molecule: ribosomal RNA, 300 nt
Filed under: uncultured Bacillus sp.
Lineage: Bacteria; Bacillati; Bacillota; Bacilli; Caryophanales; Bacillaceae
Description: partial 16S ribosomal RNA
Rfam family: Bacterial small subunit ribosomal RNA (bases 52-300)
Source: RNAcentral